Long non-coding RNA from Acipenser ruthenus (sterlet), 4661 nucleotides. RefSeq lists it as uncharacterized. The transcript has 3 exons. The record is from RefSeq and is a predicted model, not a curated record. NCBI's taxonomy places the organism in Eukaryota, Metazoa, Chordata, Actinopteri, Acipenseriformes, Acipenseridae.
AUCCAAGCACAUGUAAGAAUUACCCAGUAAUCCCUCAGUCGCCCUGUUGUUAAUGUUGAGAGUAAGUAAUGUUUCAUGUUCUCUCUCUUUUAUAGACUAGAAUCUUUAUUUAAAAUACAUUUGUACAUGGAGAAAACUGUUGUAACUCAUGUUGUAAUAGGUAUUCAUGAUGUGUUAAUAAUAACUCGCUCAUCAAAUCGUGUUAAAACUAUUUUUUUUGAUAACUCGUGUACUAUUGAGAGUGUAGUGUUGCGCACUUCUAAUGGUUGUUUUAUAUAGGGAGAGAACGUCUGGAGUGAUCUGCAUGUGCUGAUAUUCUUUUUAUUUUCUGUUAAACAGGUAUGUUUCCGACUAGUUAUUUUGUGGUCUGAAAAAAUAUGUAAAACUGAUAAGUCUUUGCCUGUGUGUGUGCGUGUAGAGGAAAGAUAGAAAAAUACAAUUAGAAUCCGAGUAAAUAAGGAUGUGCAUUGUAAACUUUUAAUUUGUAGGAACAAAAGACAAAAUAAACCUGUAAUACCACUAUACGAUCUAAAAAAAGAAGAAAUUGUUUAUUGUUUUUUUUUUGUUUUUAUUUAAUUUACUGUGAAUUGGUACAUGUCUGAUUACUACAAGUAAACAAAUAAUUAGGAGUCGCCCUGUUGUUAAUGCUGAGGGGAGAGAACGUCUGGAGUGAUCUGCAUCUGCUGAUAUUCUUUUUAUUUUCUGUUAAAUAGCCACAAUAAACAGAGACUGAAUCAACACUCGUUAGUAUUCGUGUGGUUUAUGAAGCAGCGUAGAGAAAGAUAUCGUAGCAGCAGGAUCGUGUCUGCUACACUCACUGAACCCAGUAUUGUGCAGAUCGUUGUAUGUAAUCAUAUUUAUCUUUUUUCAGGGAUGCACAUAAAUAACAACCGGGAUCACUGGCAUCAGAACACCUGACAGUCAUGUGCUAUUGACUCUUAGCUUAGUUGACAUAAAUGUAGGUAAAUGCAGAAAAGGUAACCCAUUUUUCAAGCCCCUCAAAAAUUGAGGACUAAGUACAAGAGUUAAGAAAUAAGUAAUCCGGGCUGAAAUAAAUAAUGUAAGUGAGUGGUUUUCAUGGCCACAAAAGUUAUAUUUUCUUUUAAUUUAAUUUAAUAUUCCCAGAAAAACUGAUUUGCGAUGAAAAUGCUACGUUAAGAGAGAUUGCUGUGGUCACACAAAAUGAUUCUGGCGAACAUAUAUGUGUUAAAGCUGAACCUAUUUGAGGAACAUUGCUGCACAAUUUAAAAACAACAAGCUUUUCUUUGCAAUUCUCUUGCACAAAAUGCACAAGAUGAUAUCUCUUACAGGCUUACAAUAACAGGAUACUCUUCAAGCACAACAUGGGUAUGACCCAAGCAGCAACAAGUCUUCUGAUAACAGCACCCUAAAAAAGUACAAACAGUCAAAAAAUCCACAUUGUUUCUUUUUGGAAGCUUUGAGGCAUAAAGAAAUAGAUCAUGUUGCUUUAAGCUCAGCUUUUACUGGUAGCCAACCCUUGUGUAUUGUAUCAACAACUGCAUAUGCUUUCCAGAUUAAUUAGACUUGUUUUCAGCAGUUGAAGAACAAAUCUGCAAACCUCUCCAAAAACAGUGCUAAUUAGAGGUGCACUACAUGUCUCAAGAGCAACCAGUUGGCAUUGUAUGCAGAAUAUCCUUCUUGUGCAAAGUUCAGUGACGCAGGUAUUCACAAUUUGGUAUUUCCUAUGCAUGGUUCACCACUAACAUCUGAUUCCCACAGGUGAAGUGAAGUUCUGUGGCACAAAUCCUAGCUACUGCAUCCCUGCAUUUUGAUGGAAACAUUACUCCAUUUAAAUGAGAAUUAUUGAUGAAAAUAUAUACUACCAGGGUCCGCUUCUUUCAAAUUUCCACUGUGUCUCACUAAAACUAUGCUUGCAACUUUUAAUAUUUCUAAAAUAAAUAAACAGAAAUGCAUAACAGUCUCAGGCUGGUGUUGGCAAUCACCACUCCAUUCCACAGGUUUAACAGGUACAGUAUCAUGAAAUAACAAACAUGUUACUUUAGGACCUGGAUAGAUAAAACAUGGUGGAAACAAAGGUCUAGACAGAAAGUGCCAGUUUAGCCCUGGUCUAAUCAAAAUAAUACUGUACUGCUUAAGUAAUUAAAAUUGGUCAGUGCAGACAUAUUGUUACAGUACAUUUAUGGAUGAUUGUCAGGGAAUCAUAUUUAUUUGAUUGCUUUAGAACAUCCUAUAACUGUUGAUAUCUGUGGACAGGAUGGCUUUGUGGUGACUUCAGACCAGGAAGUGACAGACACUAGUACGAGCCGACCCGAGCUGAACCCAAGACAGAAGUGGAGUCCUGCUGGGAACGAGCUGAAACAUUGGACAUGGACUGGAUGAUUUAAAAAUGAAAUGUAUUAAUGAGAUGAUACGUGUUGUAACCAUUUGUAAUGUUUGAAUAAUCUUCAGUCUGUAACAAAUACUGUAAAGUGCUCUCUCUGUAAGAUCGUAUAACAGAAUCUGGUACAACUUGAUACACUGGCCGGCCUUGAGCAGUCUCUUAUUAAAAUUGGCACGAUUCCCAGAAUUUAGUACUAAAAUCUCUGUUAACACUUUUCAGCUUGACUACAGAAUAAUGCUGUACUAAUAGAUGUAUGUUAAUAUGCUUGUUUUAAAUGGUAUAGGUUGUUGCGAUAACAUGUAAUCAUAGUUAGUGGUAAUUAUAGUUUAAAUAAUAGUGUACUAUGAACAAUUUUUAUGUAUAAGAUCAUAUGAUUCACUUUGCUUAAUAUGAUAGCAUACCUGAAGCUGUUUUCUAUCAAGAUAAGCAUAGUUAAAAACUGAGUCCUAAUUCAAUGAAAAGAAUUGCUGUGUGCUUACAUUCAAGAAUUAUACUUUCCGAAUAUAAAGGAAAAAGGAGUUAGGAGUAUUCUUAAGGGAAAGAGAAAGACAGAAAGGGACUAAAGGAUCUCACUUUGAGUCGGUUUCUGCUUGUAAUUUAGCUUUAAAAUAAGUGGGUGAGUAAGAACAACCUAGAGUAAAAAGCAGCCUCUAAUUCAAGAAAAAUAAGCAUUUUAGAAGAUACACCACAGAAAGGGAACAGAAAAGUUAAAUAAAUUGUUAUUGCGAUAUUGCUGCUAUGCUGCUGCUAGCAGAAAGUAAUAAGGUUAGCAGCCAUACGCUAUAAGGAGUAAGGUACUAGUUUGACUCUGAAGUUAAAAGACGCAGCAUAAAAAGAAGUUGUGGUAAACAUACAAAAUAAAAGGAUUGAAUAAAUAAUGAAGAAUAAAAGCAGGAGAUAGGUUUUAGGAGAGUAAACUCUAUGUGACCUGUCUUCUUGAACUCUCUAUCAGCCUGCCCUUGGAGAAGAUUUGUAUUAGCCGAUGGAAGGCCUAUUUGGUGGGAAGAAGCCGGAAUUUUUUUAUCAGAAGGCUUAUAGUAUCAGGGGCCGGACUGCAAAAAUAGGGAGUUAGAACGGAUGGUCUUAGCACCUAAGAUAGUUAGUUGCCGGGCGGAACAAGCACGUAAGAUACAGGUGUAAGGAAAGUUCUAGGGAACAUUAAUCACUAUUAAACUUGGCAAGAAAAGAGGUGUCUCCAGCAAGCUGGUUUUAGCCAGUAUGUGUAUAGCUGAAAAAUACAGGGUCAUCUGGAUGUCAAUUAAGUUCAAGCUACCAGGGGCCAUAGGAGAAAAACAUUACAGCUUAACAGCUCAGUAAAAUAGUUAGGUUUUCCAUAAGGAGAAAACUCUACACUAAAAAGAUAUAAGAUGGAAGUUCCCUAUAAUACCUGCUAAACACACACCUGUAAUCAAUUAUAAUCAUUAUAACUAUAACUGCUAUAUUAUGAUAUAACUAUUGGUGUUGCAUAUAUUCAAACACCACUCUUUUUAUAAUACACACAAUUAUUGGUGCUUCAUAUAUUUAAACACCACUCCUUUUUAUAAUGCACCCAUAUUAAGUAGUGUAUCAAGGUAGCAAGGAUUUUGUGAACUCUGCUUCACCUAACUUUUCAGAUGAAGGAGGGGGGCCAAGAAUGAGUGGAUGAGAACAUGGGCUAGUGUUGAUUUGUUGGCAUAUGACUCCAAUUGAGUCUGAAGAGUUGGUUGAAUUCUUUAGAGAUUACUGUUUGCCAAGAGAUAAGGACUGUCCAUAUAGAUUGAUGACUGGAUCUAAUUGGGGCUUCCCAUUGCUUUCAAUGGGACGAAAAUUGUAUAAAAACCCUGAGCCGAUCACACUGAGACCACCACAAUCAAGCUUGGCAGAGCUACGUGGUCCAUCCUUUGCAGAUCUCCACAAGGCAGUCCUUCUCUUUUGUUCACGCUACUCUCCCUUAUAAUAAGAGGUAAGCACAUUAAUGGUAAUAUUGUAUCUUGCAUGUAUUGGUUAUAUUGCUAUGAGGUUUUGAAACUAUGUUUUAGUAUUGAGAGUGUUAUAUUGAAUGUGCUAAAACAUAGCAGUGGGUGCUUGUAGGCUUUGUGCUUAGCCAGCCUGAGGGCUGCACUGAAUACAUAUAAUUGUAUUAUGUUAUUGACGUAUUAAAUGCUGAAGCUUGUAAUAAACUUAGGAUUGCUAAUUAUUGUUACAUGUUUUGGGGUUUUAGUGGUAUGCGCAAACUACUAAACCAAUAUUAAAGGCAUUAUAAUAAAACGAAGGAGCGCUGAUGUUGCUCUGAUUCGUAAAACUUCAAAUAAAUGAGUCU